UCGAGAAUCUUCCGCAAUGGACGCAAGUCUGACGGAGCGACACCGCGUGAUCGAUGAAGUGCUUCGGUAUGUAAAGAUCUUUUAUGAGGGAAGAAGUUUAUUGACGGUACCUCAUGAAUAAGGGCCUGCAAAACUCGUGCCAGCAGCAGCGGUAAUACGAGUGGCCCAAGCGUUAUCCGGAAUUAUUGGGCGUAAAGGGUGUGUAGGUGGUUAUAUUAGUCCGAUGUCUAACCUCUGUGCUCAACAUGGAGACAGCAUUGGAAACGGUAUGACUAGAGUAUGUUAGGGGUAAGCGGAACUCAUAGUGUAGGGGUGAAAUCCGUUGAUAUUAUGGGGAACACCAAAAGCGAAGGCAGCUUACUGGAACAUUACUGACACUGAAACACGAAAGCGUGGGUAG
This 400-nucleotide ribosomal RNA is filed under the name uncultured bacterium. Its description in RNAcentral is "bacterial SSU rRNA". It matches the Rfam family "Bacterial small subunit ribosomal RNA", at positions 355 to 768 of the family's 1533-position model. The record is from RNAcentral.